This 356-nucleotide ribosomal RNA is filed under the name Escherichia coli. Its description in RNAcentral is "partial 23S ribosomal RNA". It matches the Rfam family "Bacterial large subunit ribosomal RNA", at positions 542 to 901 of the family's 2925-position model. The record is from RNAcentral. Lineage: Bacteria; Pseudomonadati; Pseudomonadota; Gammaproteobacteria; Enterobacterales; Enterobacteriaceae.
AAAAGAACCUGAAACCGUGUACGUACAAGCAGUGGGAGCCUCUUAAUGGGGUGACUGCGUACCUUUUGUAUAAUGGGUCAGCGACUUAUAUUCUGUAGCAAGGUUAACCGAAUAGGGGAGCCGAAGGGAAACCGAGUCUUAACUGGGCGUUAAGUUGCAGGGUAUAGACCCGAAACCCGGUGAUCUAGCCAUGGGCAGGUUGAAGGUUGGGUAACACUAACUGGAGGACCGAACCGACUAAUGUUGAAAAAUUAGCGGAUGACUUGUGGCUGGGGGUGAAAGGCCAAUCAAACCGGGAGAUAGCUGGUUCUCCCCGAAAGCUAUUUAGGUAGCGCCUCGUGAAUUCAUCUCCGGGG